GGGGAAUAUUGAACAAUGGGGGAAACCCUGAUGCAGCAACGCCGCGUGAAGGAUGAAGGUUUUCGGAUUGUAAACUUCUUUAGUCAGGGACGAAUAAAUGACGGUACCUGAAGAAUAAGCCACGGCUAACUACGUGCCAGCAGCCGCGGUAAUACGUAGGUGGCGAGCGUUGUCCGGAAUUAUUGGGCGUAAAGAGCUUGUAGGCGGUCCGUCACGUCGGAAGUGAAAACUCAGGGCUUAACCCUGAGCCUGCUUUCGAUACGGGCAGACUUGAGGGAUGUAGGGGAGAACGGAAUUCCUGGUGGAGCGGUGGAAUGCGCAGAUAUCAGGAGGAACACCAGUGGCGAAGGCGGUUCUCUGGACAUUUCCUGACGCUGAGAAGCGAAAGCGUGGGGAGCAAACA
RNAcentral lists this ribosomal RNA (403 nucleotides) under uncultured Propionicimonas sp. RNAcentral describes it as "bacterial SSU rRNA". It matches the Rfam family "Bacterial small subunit ribosomal RNA", at positions 356 to 774 of the family's 1533-position model. The record is from RNAcentral. Lineage: Bacteria; Bacillati; Actinomycetota; Actinomycetes; Propionibacteriales; Nocardioidaceae.